CAGCCGCCGCGGUAAUACGUAGGUGGCAAGCGUUGUCCGGAAUUAUUGGGCGUAAAGGGCUCGCAGGCGGUUUCUUAAGUCUGAUGUGAAAGCCCCCGGCUCAACCGGGGAGGGUCAUUGGAAACUGAGAAACUUGAGUGCAGAAGAGGAGAGUGGAAUUCCACGUGUAGCGGUGAAAUGCGUAGAGAUGUGGAGGAACACCAGUAGCGAAGGCGACUCUCUGGUCUGUAACUGACGCUGAGGAGCGAAAGCGUGGGGAGCGAACAGGAUUAGAUACCCCCGUAGUCCCUGUCUCUUAUAC
Molecule: ribosomal RNA, 301 nt
Filed under: uncultured bacterium
Lineage: Bacteria
Description: partial 16S ribosomal RNA
Rfam family: Bacterial small subunit ribosomal RNA
Source: RNAcentral